AUCUGGGCGGCGGAAUUCAGGAUGGCUGGCGUGCUCUCGCGGUGCGUCGGUCGUUUGAUAUUUCCGUCGCCAACAAACCGCAGACGUCGCGACCUGUUCGCGGUCGGUCCCUGCUCGGAGGAGCCACGUUCGAGCUCGUUGUGUGCGCGUUUCGGCGCGUCACACGGCGAAGGCGUGGAUCUCUGGCUGGCCGUCGGACAGUAUGCUUAGCGGUGUCCGGUGUCGUCGUCUCGUACGCGCGGCACCGGUACCGGUCAGCGACGAAUUCUUCGGGCCUCUUUCCGACCCGUCUUGAAACACGGACCAAGGAGUCUAACAUGCGCGCGAGUCGCGGGGUAUCGAGCGUACUUCGGUGCGAUCGUUAUGUUGCGAAACCCGUACAUGUCGAAGGCGUAAUGAAAGUGAAUGGGGAAGAUGGUGUUCCGAGUACACGUUCCGCGAUCGUCGGUAUCGCGGCCGGACACCCGCAUUCCCGGGGCGUCUCAACGGCCCGUCGCUGAUGCGGACAGUCGUCUUUCGGGGCGGCUGUCGGUCGGCGACGAACCGA
This 547-nucleotide ribosomal RNA is filed under the name Diaspidiotus ancylus. RNAcentral describes it as "partial large subunit ribosomal RNA". Lineage: Eukaryota; Metazoa; Arthropoda; Insecta; Hemiptera; Diaspididae. The record is from RNAcentral.